This is a long non-coding RNA of Equus quagga, 304 nucleotides long. RefSeq lists it as uncharacterized. NCBI's taxonomy places the organism in Eukaryota, Metazoa, Chordata, Mammalia, Perissodactyla, Equidae. The transcript has 3 exons. The record is from RefSeq and is a predicted model, not a curated record.
CGCUAGGGGCGCUGACGAAUAAGCGCGGUAGAACCUAAGGCCGCAGGUGUUCUAUUUAUUCAGCAAACGUUUAUUGGGCACCUGAAGUCCUCGGGACCGACGGUGUGCUAAAUUCAGGCUUCUACUCCCAGGCUGACAUCUUGAACCCGGUGUGAUAAUCCAGGAUGUCAGCGCUGAAAGGCCCGCAAGAGCAUUCCUGGUCCAAACCCUACCGCCUCCAACUCAUUUUGCAGAGGAAACUGAAGAUUAGCCCUGAGCUAACAUCUGCUGCCACUCCUCCUCUUUUUGCUGAGGAAGACUGGCC